CCUACGGGAGGCAGCAGUAGGGAAUAUUGCACAAUGGGGGAAACCCUGAAGCAGCAACGCCGCGUGGAGGAUGAAGGUUUUCGGAUUGUAAACCCCUUUUGUUAGAGAAGAUAAUGACGGUAUCUAACGAAUAAGCACCGGCUAACUCCGUGCCAGCAGCCGCGGUAAUACGUAGGGUGCAAGAGUUACGCGGAAGGACUGGGGGGAAAGGGCGCGUAGGCGGGUUAGCAAGGAAGGUGUGAAAGCCUAUGGCUUAACCAUAGAACUGCUUUUGAAACUGUUAUUCUAGAGUAGGGGAGAGGUAGGUGGAAUUCUUGGUGUAGAGGUGGAAUCCGUAGAGAUCAAGAGGAAUACUCAUUGCGAAGGCGGCCUGCUAGAACAUAACUGACGCUGAUGCGCGAAAGCGUGGGGAGCAAACAGGAUUAGAUACCCUUGUAGUC
This 440-nucleotide ribosomal RNA is filed under the name uncultured bacterium. RNAcentral's name for it is "partial 16S ribosomal RNA". It matches the Rfam family "Bacterial small subunit ribosomal RNA", at positions 338 to 795 of the family's 1533-position model. The record is from RNAcentral.